RNAcentral lists this ribosomal RNA (857 nucleotides) under Fusarium tricinctum. Its description in RNAcentral is "partial large subunit ribosomal RNA". It matches the Rfam family "Eukaryotic large subunit ribosomal RNA", at positions 76 to 963 of the family's 3401-position model. The record is from RNAcentral. Lineage: Eukaryota; Fungi; Ascomycota; Sordariomycetes; Hypocreales; Nectriaceae.
UGCCCUAGUAACGGCGAGUGAAGCGGCAACAGCUCAAAUUUGAAAUCUGGCUUUCGGGCCCGAGUUGUAAUUUGUAGAGGAUACUUUUGAUGCGGUGCCUUCCGAGUUCCCUGGAACGGGACGCCAUAGAGGGUGAGAGCCCCGUCUGGUUGGAUGCCAAAUCUCUGUAAAGUUCCUUCGACGAGUCGAGUAGUUUGGGAAUGCUGCUCUAAAUGGGAGGUAUAUGUCUUCUAAAGCUAAAUAUUGGCCAGAGACCGAUAGCGCACAAGUAGAGUGAUCGAAAGAUGAAAAGCACUUUGAAAAGAGAGUUAAAAAGUACGUGAAAUUGUUGAAAGGGAAGCGUUUAUGACCAGACUUGGACUUGGUUAAUCAUCUGGGGUUCUCCCCAGUGCACUUUUCCAGUUCAGGCCAGCAUCAGUUUUCGCCGGGGGAUAAAGGCUUCGGGAAUGUAGCUCUCUUCGGGGAGUGUUAUAGCCCGUUGUGUAAUACCCUGGCGGAGACUGAGGUUCGCGCUUCUGCAAGGAUGCUGGCGUAAUGGUCAUCAACGACCCGUCUUGAAACACGGACCAAGGAGUCGUCUUCGUAUGCGAGUGUUCGGGUGUCAAACCCCUACGCGUAAUGAAAGUGAACGCAGGUGAGAGCUUCGGCGCAUCAUCGACCGAUCCUGAUGUUCUCGGAUGGAUUUGAGUAAGAGCAUACGGGGCCGGACCCGAAAGAAGGUGAACUAUGCCUGUAUAGGGUGAAGCCAGAGGAAACUCUGGUGGAGGCUCGCAGCGGUUCUGACGUGCAAAUCGAUCGUCAAAUAUGGGCAUGGGGGCGAAAGACUAAUCGAACCUUCUAGUAGCUGGUUUCCGCGA